UACAGAGGUCCCAAGCGUUGUUCGGAUUCACUGGGCGUAAAGGGUGCGUAGGUGGUCAGGUAAGUCUGAUGUGAAAGCUCUGGGCUCAACCCAGAAAUGGCAUUGGAUACUAUCUGGCUAGAGGAAUGGAGGGGGGACUGGAAUACUUGGUGUAGCAGUGAAAUGCGUAGAUAUCAAGUGGAACACCAGUGGCGAAGGCGAGUCCCUGGACAUUUCCUGACACUGAGGCACGGAAGCUAGGGGAGCAAACAGG
RNAcentral lists this ribosomal RNA (253 nucleotides) under uncultured bacterium. Its description in RNAcentral is "partial 16S ribosomal RNA". It matches the Rfam family "Bacterial small subunit ribosomal RNA", at positions 524 to 776 of the family's 1533-position model. The record is from RNAcentral.